This 426-nucleotide ribosomal RNA is filed under the name uncultured prokaryote. RNAcentral's name for it is "bacterial SSU rRNA". It matches the Rfam family "Bacterial small subunit ribosomal RNA", at positions 355 to 774 of the family's 1533-position model. The record is from RNAcentral.
UGGGGAAUCUUCCGCAAUGGACGAAAGUCUGACGGAGCAACGCCGCGUGAGUGAAGAAGGCCUUCGGGUCGUAAGCUCUGUUAUUCGGGACGAACGUGCCCUAUGUGAACAAUAUGGGGUAAUGACGGUACCGAAGGAGGAAGCCACGGCUAACUACGUGCCAGCAGCCGCGGUAAUACGUAGGUGGCGAGCGUUGUCCGGAAUUAUUGGGCGUAAAGCGCGCGCAGGUGGGAUAGUAAGUCUUUUGUAAAAGUGCGGGGCUCAACCCCGUAAUGCGACGGAUACUGCUAUUCUUGAGUGCAGGAGAGGAAAGCGGAAUUCCCAGUGUAGCGGGGAAAUGCGUAGAUAUUGGGAGGAACACCAGUGGCGAAGGCGGCUUUCUGGACUGUGUCUGACACUGAGGCGCGAAAGCCAGGGGAGCGAACG